GACGAACGCUGGCGGCGUGCUUAACACAUGCAAGUCGAACGGUGAAGGGACUGGUUUUGCUGGUCCUGGAUGAGUGGCGACCGGGUGAGUAACACGUGAGUAACCUGCCCCCUUCUUCUGGAUAACCGCAUGAAAGUGUGGCUAAUACGGGAUAUUCUGGGUCUGUCGCAUGGUGGGCCUGGGAAAGAUUGCGCCUUUUUUGGUGUUUUUGGUGUGGGAUGGGCUCGCGGCCUAUCAGCUUGUUGGUGGGGUGAUGGCCUACCAAGGCGGUGACGGGUAGCCGGGCUGGGAGGGUUGACGGGCACAAUGGGACUGAGACACGGGCCAGACUCCUACGGGAGGCUGCAGUUGGGAAUAUUGCACAAUUGGCGGAAGCCUGAUGCAGCGACGCCGCGUGAGGGAUGGAGGCCUUCGGGUUGUGAACCUCUUUCGCCAGUGAAGCAGGCCUGCCUCUUUUUGUGGGUGGGUUGACGGUAGCUGGAUAAGAAGCGCCGGCUAACUACGUG
RNAcentral lists this ribosomal RNA (506 nucleotides) under uncultured bacterium. RNAcentral describes it as "partial 16S ribosomal RNA". It matches the Rfam family "Bacterial small subunit ribosomal RNA", at positions 28 to 507 of the family's 1533-position model. The record is from RNAcentral.